Molecule: ribosomal RNA, 494 nt
Filed under: uncultured bacterium
Lineage: Bacteria
Description: partial 16S ribosomal RNA
Rfam family: Bacterial small subunit ribosomal RNA
Source: RNAcentral
GACGAACGCUGGCGGCGUGCUUAACACAUGCAAGUCGAACGGUGAAGCGCCUUCCUUUUUGGUGGGUGUGGAUGAGUGGCGAACGGGUGAGUAACACGUGAGUAACCUGCCCCCUUCUUCUGGAUAACCGCAUGAAAGUGUGGCUAAUACGGGAUAUUCUGGGUCUGUCGCAUGAUGGGUCUGGGAAAGAUAUUGUUUCGGUGGGGGAUGGGCUCGCGGCCUAUCAGCUUGUUGGUGGGGUGAUGGCCUACCAAGGCGGUGACGGGUAGCCGGCCUGAGAGGGUGGACGGUCACACUGGGACUGAGACACGGCCCAGACUCCUACGGGAGGCAGCAGUGGGGAAUAUUGCACAAUGGGCGCAAGCCUGAUGCAGCGACGCCGCGUGAGGGAUGGAGGCCUCCGGGUUGUGAACCUCUUUCGCCAGUGAGGCAGGCCUGCCUCGUUUGUGGGUGGGUUGACGGUAGCUGGAUAAGAAGCGCCGGCUAACUACGUG